GAACAUCAUGGUGUAGUGGUUUGAGUGUUGGACUAUGACUCUGAAGACCAGGGUUCAAGUCCCUGCUUGCCCA
RNAcentral lists this transfer RNA (73 nucleotides) under Phrynosoma platyrhinos (Desert horned lizard). RNAcentral's name for it is "tRNA-OTHER". The record is from RNAcentral. Lineage: Eukaryota; Metazoa; Chordata; Lepidosauria; Squamata; Phrynosomatidae.